CUUCCUUUCGGCCUUUUUGGGUAAAAUCAAAUGUAGUACUGUUCUUAUUAAACUUAAUUCUGAACCCUACCCCACUUUGGGGGGGCCGAUAUUAAAAAGAAUUUUUUACCAGGGGAGAAGUCGGGGCUUUUUUUCCGCUCUUACCACGGGUUUGGCCCGGUUUUUGCCGUACCUCCGGGGAAAGGCCCCCUUUU
Small nuclear RNA from Pecten maximus, 194 nucleotides. RefSeq annotates it as U2 spliceosomal RNA. The record is from RefSeq and is a predicted model, not a curated record. The transcript has a single exon. Lineage: Eukaryota; Metazoa; Mollusca; Bivalvia; Pectinida; Pectinidae.